UACAGAGGUCUCAAGCGUUGUUCGGAUUCAUUGGGCGUAAAGGGCGCGUAGGUGGCGCUGCAAGUCGGGUGUGAAAUUUCGGAGCUUAACUCCGAAACUGCAUUCGAUACUGCGGUGCUUGAGGACUGGAGAGGAGACUGGAAUUCAUGGUGUAGCAGUGAAAUGCGUAGAGAUCAUGAGGAAGACCAGUGGCGAAGGCGGGUCUCUGGACAGUUCCUGACACUGAGGCACGAAGGCCAGGGGAGCAAACGGG
Molecule: ribosomal RNA, 253 nt
Filed under: uncultured bacterium
Lineage: Bacteria
Description: partial 16S ribosomal RNA
Rfam family: Bacterial small subunit ribosomal RNA
Source: RNAcentral